This 497-nucleotide ribosomal RNA is filed under the name uncultured bacterium. RNAcentral's name for it is "partial 16S ribosomal RNA". It matches the Rfam family "Bacterial small subunit ribosomal RNA", at positions 39 to 507 of the family's 1533-position model. The record is from RNAcentral.
GGGGGGGGGGGGGGGGGGGCGUGGGGCGGGCGGGUGGGGCGGGGGGACGGGGGGCUUGCGCCUGGGGCGGUAGGGGCGGCCGGGUGGGUGAGGCGUGGAUAACCUACCUAUAGGACUUGGAUAACUUGGGGAAGCGGGAGCUACUCCCGGAUAAUCUAUUGGCCCGCAUGGUUCAAUAGUGAAAGACGGUUUUGCUGGCACUUAUAGAGGGACCCACGCCGCAUUCGCUGUGUGGGAAGGUAACGGCUUACCAAGGCAACGAUGCGGAGCCGACCUGGGAGGGUGAUCGGCCACACUGGAACUGAGACACGGUCCAGACUCCUACGGGAGGCAGCAGUAGGGAAUCUUCCGCAAGGGGCGAAAGCCUGACGGAGCAACGCCGCGUGAGGGAUGAAGGUCUUCGGAUCGUAAAACUCUGUUAGUAGGGAAGAACAAAUGUGUAAGUAACUAUGCACGUCUUGACGGUACCUAAUCAGAAAGCCACGGCUAACUACGUG